This 425-nucleotide ribosomal RNA is filed under the name uncultured bacterium. RNAcentral's name for it is "partial 16S ribosomal RNA". It matches the Rfam family "Bacterial small subunit ribosomal RNA", at positions 354 to 796 of the family's 1533-position model. The record is from RNAcentral.
GUGGGGAAUCUUAGACAAUGGGGGAAACCCUGAUCUAGCCAUGCCGCGUGAGCGAUGAAGGCCUUAGGGUUGUAAAGCUCUUUCAGCUGGGAAGAUAAUGACGGUACCAGCAGAAGAAGCCCCGGCUAACUCCGUGCCAGCAGCCGCGGUAAUACGGAGGGGGCUAGCGUUGUUCGGAAUUACUGGGCGUAAAGCGCGCGUAGGCGGACCAGAAAGUUGGAGGUGAAAUCCCAGGGCUCAACCUUGGAACUGCCUUCAAAACUCCUGGUCUGGAGUUCGAGAGAGGUGAGUGGAAUUCCGAGUGUAGAGGUGAAAUUCGUAGAUAUUCGGAGGAACACCAGUGGCGAAGGCGGCUCACUGGCUCGAUACUGACGCUGAGGUGCGAAAGCGUGGGGAGCAAACAGGAUUAGAAACCCUAGUAGUCC